Molecule: ribosomal RNA, 519 nt
Filed under: uncultured bacterium
Lineage: Bacteria
Description: bacterial SSU rRNA
Rfam family: Bacterial small subunit ribosomal RNA
Source: RNAcentral
UACGGGAGGCAGCAGGGGGGAAUUUUGGACAAUGGGCGAAAGCCUGAUCCAGCAAUGCCGCGUGAGUGAAGAAGGCCUUCGGGUUGUAAAGCUCUUUUGUCAGGGAAGAAACGGUGAGGGCUAAUAUCCCUUGCUAAUGACGGUACCUGAAGAAUAAGCACCGCUAACUACGUGCCAGCAGCCGCGGUAAUACGUAGGGUGCAAGCGUUAAUCGGAAUUACUGGGCGUAAAGCGUGCGCAGGCAAAAAUGUAAGUCUGUCGUGAAAUCCCCGGGCUCAACCUGGGAAUUGCGAUGGAGACUGCAAGGCUAGAAUCUGGCAGAGGGGGGUAGAAUUCCACGUGUAGCAGUGAAAUGCGUAGAGAUGUGGAGGAACACCGAUGGCGAAGGCAGCCCCCUGGGUCAAGAUUGACGCUCAUGCACGAAAGCGUGGGGAGCAAACAGGAUUAGAUACCCUGGUAGUCCACGCCCUAAACGAUGUCAUCUAGUUGUCGGGCCUUCCUAGGCUUGGUAACGAAGCU